Molecule: long non-coding RNA, 1634 nt
Filed under: Homo sapiens (human)
Lineage: Eukaryota; Metazoa; Chordata; Mammalia; Primates; Hominidae
Description: HSALNT0373601
Source: RNAcentral
CUAAUUCCAUCCACCCUCCUCUCCCUAGGAGGCCUACUAUUCCCUUUACUCUCAGACCCAGGCAGAUGGAGCAGCCACUAUUGAGAACUUGUCUGUUCUCUUCGGCUGAUUAAAAACAGAGAGAGAGAUUGGUGGAGGAUGAUAAAUUGAGUACUGGCCAUUAUCACUCAUAUUCCAUUGUCCAAAGUAAGUCUCAUGACAACACCUAACAUGAAAUCAAUUGAAAAGAAAAUUUUAAGAUGUGCAUCAAAGAGAAUCAGACCAUUCUUGAAGAGUAUUAAUGCCUACCACUAAGAUUUUUAAUCUGAGCACAUGUAAAUCAUGGGAUAGAUGAAGUUACAGAGACAUUCUAAAUGAGAACAAGCUUUGGAACUCAGAUAGAAGUUCUGAUUCAUUUUUCUGGUGAAAUUUUGAAAAUUUUCAAUUUCCCAUAACCACUUACAGAUAGUAGUUUGCAAAAAUAAAUCAAUAAAAUAGAGAAAAGAACUUAAGUUUUCUUUGGAGUAUUUUUUUUCUCCUAUCUUUUAUUUUAGUCCAGGAGUCCCAGAUAUCUCAGUCAUGAUAUUGAACACUAAAUAUGUUCUGAGUCACCAAAUGUUCUUGGCCACAUGUGAGAAACUUAUAGCCAAUUAAUUGUAGAAGAUAAGUUUAUAGAAGAUAUAGGAAGUGUUUCCAAGAGAUCUUCUGUGAAAAACUAAUAUAUUUUACUAUUUAAUUUUUCAAACAUUUAUGACUUUGAUUCAUCAUCUAUGCUGUGAUUACAAAAAUUUUUGGGAAAUAAAAAUUAUAUUACUGGGAUACAAAUAAGACACACUUAAAAAUAUUUUGUAAGAAAAGAAAUAAUGAACACACCCAUUCCUAGUGGAUGGAUUUGCCUUCUAAAUAGGGGUAAACUGUUAUUACAGAACCCAAACAUGAAUUAAAAUUAACAAACAAAACAAAAAAUAACCUUACAAACAAAAAAUACAUAAGCUUCUGAGGGAAACAGUAGACUUAAUGUAAUUAAGAAUCAUUAAUCUGAUUCAGAAAUAGGUUAGAAGAGCAAUUUUAUAUGCAAACAUACACAGAAAAAUAACUACAUGGCAUUCUCCCCUUUAUUGUGAUUUAUAUCAUUUCACAAGUUAGUUUCAUCUCUAUUAUUAAGGACUUACCAUAAUCUGUAUGGGAAAGUACUAUUCUCCCAUUUUAUUACUGAGAUUGUUACAAAUAUUUGCAUAUUGUAAGGACAGAGUUAUAGAGAUGUGCAAUUUUAGUUUAAUUAGUUGAGUUUCAUUUUAAUUCAGUUUUGUUAAAGAACAAAAUUAAUGUUUUCCUACUUUUAUGUGGAAUGGCAUGUGUGGGCUUUCAGAUUGUGGUGAUAUUUCCCUUGGAAUUAUUUUUUUCUUUUUUGUUUGUUUUUGACACUCCCCCAUUUGGACUAAAUCUCCUUGGAAUUCUUUACGUAUAGAUUAGUGAAAAGGUCCUGAGGCUGCUUUUGAUUUGAGACAGGUUUUGUUGACUGAUAUAUUUAUAUGACUAGAUCUAUAAACUUUUCAAAAUUUGUAUAAAUGUAAGGGUCUCAAGUGCAAUUUUGUUGCAUGGAUAUAUUGUGCAGUGGUGAUGUCUAGGCAUUUAGUGUAUCCAUCACCCAAAUA